CAGAGUUCAUGCCCUCACGGGUAGAUCUCCCACCCUAUGCUAUCAUUACCUUUGUUGCUUUGGCGGGCCGCCAGGCCUGGUCAGGCUACCGGCUCCGGCUGGUAAGCGCCCGCCAGAGGAUCCCAAACUCUGAAUGUUAGUGUCGUCUGAGUACUAUAUAAUAGUUA
Molecule: unclassified non-coding RNA, 167 nt
Filed under: uncultured fungus
Lineage: Eukaryota; Fungi
Description: sequence contains ITS1, 5.8S rRNA gene
Source: RNAcentral